Molecule: long non-coding RNA, 653 nt
Filed under: Rosa chinensis
Lineage: Eukaryota; Viridiplantae; Streptophyta; Magnoliopsida; Rosales; Rosaceae
Description: sRNA RchiOBHm_Chr2g0132011
Source: RNAcentral
UUUAUAGCUGUUAAUACAUGUGCAAAUGACUUUAUACAUAUUUUAUUAUUGAUAAAAUAUACGUGUUGUUGGGUUGUGUUGAGGAAAUUAUAUAUUGAGUGAGGUGUUAUGUUUAUUGUCACAGGGGUGACCAUGGCAUCUAUUGGUGAAUCACGCUCUCGUACCGGGCUGGUGGUUAUUAAUAGUAUUAAAUCGUGAACCACGCUCUCGCGCCGGGCUGGUGGUUGCGAUCAGUUAGAGCUCUAGUCUGUCUGCCAAAUGUUGUGUGACCUUAUGAGCGAAAUCGAGAGUAACUCAUAAGUGUCUAUAUAUAUAUUUAUAUAUAAGAGUGAGAAAGUGACGUGGUUUUGUGGUGACCUUAUGAGAGAAAUUGAGAGUAACUCAUAAAUGUCUAUAUAUAUAUUUGAGAGUGAGAAAGUGAGGUGGUUUUGUGAUUGUGAUAUUAUUACAAUUUCAUUUGCUUGAAUUGAAAUUGUUAUAUUAAAAUUGUGCAAUCAUUUCGUUUACUCAUACGGGCUGUCAAGCUCACCGGGUUUGUGUUGUUGCAAUCCCGGUACACUAUUUAUAUUGUGUAGCGGGAAAUCCUCAGGUCAGGAGAAUCGAGAAGGUGAUCAGGCUGCUUAGAGUAGUGGCAUUUGAGUUACAGCAUUAUU